AGCGAUCAUUCAUAAUAAUAACAACGAUGAACGAUAGGCAACUUGGAGUGCCCUCACCACCCCGAGGACGCAGCAUCCUUCCAGAGGGACGUGAAGGUUGCAAGCGUGCUGUGACUCCACGUCAGGGCGAAGCCAAUGUGAUGCUCAACUGAGGAUCGCGACUUUCUUCUCCAGAAAACUGUGCGAGAUUAUGGCGCUGGUUGGCGCCAGCCUGAGUGUGAACCGUCGCUUCGGGGGAAUGGCCUCGCAUGGAAGAGGACAGGAGGAUGAUCUGGAUGGAGGUGGCCUCUGCACCCCAGUUCCCACAUGCAAG
This is a long non-coding RNA of Gymnogyps californianus (California condor), 313 nucleotides long. RefSeq lists it as uncharacterized. The transcript is spliced from 4 exons. The record is from RefSeq and is a predicted model, not a curated record. Lineage: Eukaryota; Metazoa; Chordata; Aves; Accipitriformes; Cathartidae.